GGCGUAAGGGCUCGCAGGCGGUUUCUUAAGUCUGAUGUGAAAGCCCCCGGCUCAACCGGGGAGGGUCAUUGGAAACUGGGGAACUUGAGUGCAGAAGAGGAGAGUGGAAUUCCACGUGUAGCGGUGAAAUGCGUAGAGAUGUGGAGGAACACCAGUGGCGAAGGCGACUCUCUGGUCUGUAACUGACGCUGAGGAGCGAAAGCGUGGGGAGCGAACAGGAUUAGAUACCCUGGUAGUCCACGCCGUAAACGAUGAGUGCUAAGUGUUAGGGGGUUUCCGCCCCUUAGUGCUGCAGCUAACGCAUUAAGCACUCCGCCUGGGGAGUACGGUCGCAACUACUGAAACUCACAGGAAUUGACGGGGGCCCGC
Molecule: ribosomal RNA, 369 nt
Filed under: Bacillus subtilis
Lineage: Bacteria; Bacillati; Bacillota; Bacilli; Caryophanales; Bacillaceae
Description: bacterial SSU rRNA
Rfam family: Bacterial small subunit ribosomal RNA
Source: RNAcentral